RNAcentral lists this non-coding RNA (255 nucleotides) under Heterosigma akashiwo. Lineage: Eukaryota; Raphidophyceae; Chattonellales; Chattonellaceae. The record is from RNAcentral.
ACUGCAUGGGACAAGUAGUGUGGCCUUUCUUUAUCCUGCCGUGGGAACCAACAGUAAGCUAACGCUCACUGCCCAUGCAGAUUCCAGUGCUGAGGACAGCGCCACCACCAAGAUCCCUCCGAAUCUUCCCCUGUCAAAUUAUGGACAAGCCAGUGAGACUGCUUUCAUGAGGACCUUGCAGGAAUUGCCUCUUUCCAACCUUGGCACCCAGGUCGAUGCAUUUGUGAUGAGGAUGGAAGAAGACAUUAGUAGCCA